RNAcentral lists this long non-coding RNA (472 nucleotides) under Hordeum vulgare. RNAcentral's name for it is "long non-coding RNA (HVUL_LNC004881)". Lineage: Eukaryota; Viridiplantae; Streptophyta; Magnoliopsida; Poales; Poaceae. The record is from RNAcentral.
UCAANGUUUUAAUAGAUUGGUGCAUUAUACACAGUGCUGAUCUUCAUCACCACAUAUGCCCUAUUCAUUUUGGGAGCAUGUUUAUCGAUGUUGAAUUUGCUUCAUGUUUCUGUGAUAGCUUCUGCGAAACAGUUUCUGUUUAGCUAACACAGCCUUUCUGUUGUUGAUGUUGUAAUUUUUUUGACAUGGGAACAACCCAUGUAUGUGAUUUCCUAUUAAAAGGGCACUCUUUAAAAUGUUUUUAGUGAGAUAUGUGUUGUUUUCUCAACCUUUGUUUUGGCUAAUGCUGCUUUCGACAGGGAUCUGCUCAUACUGGUCCAGCGUUAACCCCUGCUGAAGUUCUGAUUGCAAUUCAUGAUAUUAAUCCAGAAAAGGACAAAGUUCCUCUAAAGAAGGUAAUUUGUUUCCUAUUGUUUCUUUUCAUGCUGUCUCAUGAUAUUCAACAUUUCUUGAGCAUAUUCUCGGUGUGCAC